Molecule: long non-coding RNA, 618 nt
Filed under: Heterocephalus glaber (naked mole-rat)
Lineage: Eukaryota; Metazoa; Chordata; Mammalia; Rodentia; Bathyergidae
Description: lncRNA (ENSHGLG00000037297.1)
Source: RNAcentral
GUAGGUCAAAGAAUCCUAAUGGUCCUAAUCCUAAGUGGGAGGGAGGCUGGAGGAGGCCAGAGAGGGAUGCUCUUUCUUCUGCAGUUUUCUCAACUUCCUUCAGUUUAAAACGCUCAGUACAUCAAGAGGUCAUAUUUUGGGGAUAUCAGGUUCUGAGCCCUGGGGAGGGAAAGUAAGACUUUCUGGAGGUUUUCUAUUUGCCUUUUUAGAUCCACUCCCACCUCCCACCCUGCUCUCGGCCCUGUGACCCUGACUGUGUGGCCCACUUUUCCAUCUACACUGGUCUUGGCCAUGGGACACCAGCAGGAGAUCAGAGGGAGUGGGGUGUGGUCAAGAGGUCACUUUGGAAAGGCUGCGUCCAUCCAUAGAGGACACCACCCUUCUUCAGAUGACCUCCGCAAGACUCUUUGUAGAUAGGGCCUGAGGGACCUUCCUAAAUCAAAGUCUCUCAUCACUCUCCAUUAUUUGUGUCAUAGCUGGAACUGUGUCCUCCAAAAUGCAGAAAUGUUUAUUCCUUCAAAAAACACAUUUGCUAAGUGGGACAAUGUGGAUGGAACACUCAGACCUUUGAAGAGGCUGAGAAUCAACUGGCAGAAAAUUAACAAUGAGAAAAGCUGG